CCUUUACUAUAGCUUGACACUGAACAUUGAGCCUUGAUGUGUAGGAUAGGUGGGAGGCUUUGAAGCGUGGACGCCAGUCUGCGUGGAGCCAACCUUGAAAUACCACCCUUUAAUGUUUGAUGUUCUAACGUUGGCCCCUGACCGGGGUUGCGGACAGUGUCUGGUGGGUAGUUUGACUGGGGCGGUCUCCUCCCAAAGCGUAACGGAGGAGCACGAAGGUUAGCUAAUCCUGGUCGGACAUCAGGAGGUUAGUGCAAUGUCAUAAGCU
RNAcentral lists this ribosomal RNA (268 nucleotides) under Acinetobacter baumannii. RNAcentral's name for it is "partial 23S ribosomal RNA". It matches the Rfam family "Bacterial large subunit ribosomal RNA", at positions 2098 to 2365 of the family's 2925-position model. Lineage: Bacteria; Pseudomonadati; Pseudomonadota; Gammaproteobacteria; Moraxellales; Moraxellaceae. The record is from RNAcentral.